RNAcentral lists this ribosomal RNA (589 nucleotides) under Deveximentum indicium. RNAcentral describes it as "partial 16S ribosomal RNA". It matches the Rfam family "Bacterial large subunit ribosomal RNA", at positions 1816 to 2597 of the family's 2925-position model. Lineage: Eukaryota; Metazoa; Chordata; Actinopteri; Chaetodontiformes; Leiognathidae. The record is from RNAcentral.
CGCCUCUUGCACAAAACCAAAGAAUAAGAGGUCCCACCUGCCCAGUGACUAUAAGUUCAACGGCCGCGGUAUUUUGACCGUGCAAAGGUAGCACAAUCACUUGUCCUUUAAAUGGGGACCUGUAUGAAUGGUAUAACGAAGGCUAAACUGUCUCCCCUUUAAAGUCAAUGAAAUUGAUCUCCCCGUGCAGAAGCGGGGAUGUUCAGAUAAGACGAGAAGACCCUAUGGAGCUUUAGACACCAGAACAGACCACGUUAAACAAGCCCUCAACACAGAAGAAACUAAAUGGCCAACCUGUUCAAAUGUCUUUGGUUGGGGCGACCGCGUGGCACCACAGAACCCCCGCGUGGAAUAGAAACACAAACCGUUUCUAAGCUCUAGAGCUUCCACUCAAGACCCCAGAACAUCUGACCAAAAAUGACCCGGCCACUCUUACGCCGAACAACGAACCCAGUUACCCUAGGGAUAACAGCGCAAUCCUCUUCCAGAGCCCAUAUCGACAAGAGGGUUUACGACCUCGAUGUUGGAUCAGGGCAUCCUAAUGGUGUAGCCGCUAUUAAGGGUUCGUUUGUUCAACGAUUAAAGCCCU